UCGAUCUGCUGCGGGCUGAUCCAGUGAAUAUGGGCAUCGAUGGCGCCGGCGGUGACGAUCCGGCCCUCACCGGCGAUUGCCUCGGUUCCCGGCCCGAUCACAAUAUCCACGCCGGGCUGGAUAUCGGGGUUGCCAGCCUUGCCGAUUCCGACAAUCCGGCCGUCGCGCACACCGAUAUCGGCCUUCACGAUCCCCCAAUGAUCCACAAUCAGUGCAUUGGUGAUGACCGUAUCGACGGCACCCUGGGCCCGGGUCGCCUGGGACUGCCCCAUACCGUCGCG
This 281-nucleotide small RNA is filed under the name marine eukaryotic metagenome. RNAcentral's name for it is "5' ureB small RNA". It matches the Rfam family "5' ureB small RNA". The record is from RNAcentral.